AAGUCAAUUUAGCGUAUAUACUAAAAUUGGAAUGAUACAAAGAACUUUAGCAUGAGCCCUGCACAAGGAUGACAUGCAAAUUCAUGAAGCAUUCCAAUUUUUU
Non-coding RNA from Pantherophis guttatus, 103 nucleotides. The record is from RefSeq and is a predicted model, not a curated record. Lineage: Eukaryota; Metazoa; Chordata; Lepidosauria; Squamata; Colubridae.